GUUGAACAAUCACUCCAGGGAUACAGAAUGUGAAAGUGUAUUGUGAGAACUGAACGCCUCUGAGAAGUUCAUUAGGAGGGCAGCUGUAGAACGGAUAAAGAACUCUGGCCUUAAAGAUGUGGGAUCAAUACAGCCAAGCUGAUGGACCAGCUCUCUAACCUUCAGCAAGUCAUGACUCCUCAGCUUCAUAAUUCAUACAAUAGGGCUAUUAAUCUCUAUCUACCAGAGCAAUGGAGAUUAAAAUGAAAUGACACAUGUCAGAGGUUCUAGCUCUGUUAUAAGGGAUAAAUAUGCUGAAUGCAUUUUUGCUUUGUUUCAAUGUAGUGCUAUAAAAACAAUUUUCUGGGAUAGUAUGGGCUGGAUAAUUUAAAAGAUCUCCCCUGAAGCACCUUAACUGUGAGAAAAGGUGACUUCAGGAAGGAAAUGUGAGUGGUGCCAUGACAUAUGCCCUUGUGAACCAGCCACUGAGAAGGAGAUGAGGGAACCACAUGAAAAAUGCUGUAAACAUGACUGCUACUGGCAGCUCUAGGUGGUAUAGCUGAUCUUAAUACAAAGGGACUUAGAAUGAACCUCAUACUCACUGCUGGUGAAAGCCAGUACCAUAUUUGAGCUGAAGUUUUUAAGAACAGAAUAUGAGAUACAAAUUAGUGGUGGCAAGAUGACAUCCAGAAUCCUACAAAACAGCAAAGUUAAAAGCAAAGUCCCUGGCAAGAUAGUGGAGCCCCUCCAUCUCUUUCCUUGUUCCCCAGCUGUGCCAGUGUUGUGCUUCCUGGGUGUAGAGGGCUCGAUACUUUCAGUCCCUGCCAAGCCCCAAAAGGGAAAAGACCUACCACCUAGGAACCCCUGCCCCUCAGCCUCAUCCUCUACAUGUUGAUCUUGUUUAUAGAAGGCUGAGGUAAGAAUUAUUGGGAUUCAGUAAGAGUUCUGAACUCCAGAAGGCCAUGGCCAGGGCAUAAUCACUUCAUCCUCCUUCUCCAUGCCCCCUAAGCGCAGACUGCCAUGAUACUCUUG
This 1011-nucleotide long non-coding RNA is filed under the name Vulpes vulpes (red fox). Its description in RNAcentral is "lncRNA (ENSVVUG00000016081.1)". Lineage: Eukaryota; Metazoa; Chordata; Mammalia; Carnivora; Canidae. The record is from RNAcentral.